RNAcentral lists this ribosomal RNA (578 nucleotides) under Filobasidium uniguttulatum. Its description in RNAcentral is "partial large subunit ribosomal RNA". It matches the Rfam family "Eukaryotic large subunit ribosomal RNA", at positions 85 to 652 of the family's 3401-position model. Lineage: Eukaryota; Fungi; Basidiomycota; Tremellomycetes; Filobasidiales; Filobasidiaceae. The record is from RNAcentral.
UACGGCGAGCGAGCGGGAAGAGCUCAAAUUUGAAAUCUGGUGGCCUCAGGUCAUCCGAGUUGUAAUCUAUAGAAGUGUUUUCCGUGCUGGCCCAUGUACAAGUCCCUUGGAACAGGGCGUCAUAGAGGGUGAGAAUCCCGUCCUUGACAUGGACUACCAGUGCUCUGUGAUACACUUUCAACGAGUCGAGUUGUUUGGGAAUGCAGCUCAAAAUGGGUGGUAAAUUCCAUCUAAAGCUAAAUAUUGGCGAGAGACCGAUAGCGAACAAGUACCGUGAGGGAAAGAUGAAAAGCACUUUGGAAAGAGAGUUAAACAGUAUGUGAAAUUGUUGAAAGGGAAACGAUUGAAGUCAGUCGUGCUCAAUGGACUCAGCCGUUCUGCGGUGUAUUUCCAUUGGGUGGGGUCAACAUCAGUUUUGAUCGCUGGAUAAAGGCAGGAGGAAUGUAGCACCCCCGGGUGAACUUAUAGCCUCUUGUCACAUACAGUGGUUGGGACUGAGGAACGCAGCAUGCCUUUAUGGCCGGGAUUCGUCCACGUACAUGCUUAGGAUGUUGACAUAAUGGCUUUAAACGACCCGU